Long non-coding RNA from Hemicordylus capensis (graceful crag lizard), 500 nucleotides. RefSeq lists it as uncharacterized. NCBI's taxonomy places the organism in Eukaryota, Metazoa, Chordata, Lepidosauria, Squamata, Cordylidae. The transcript has 3 exons. The record is from RefSeq and is a predicted model, not a curated record.
UCUCCCUGGAGCUGUUUUCUGCAGCUCGCCCUGCCUUGCCCUCUCAACCCCACUGGGAUCUAACCAGACUGGACCUUUCUCAUCCCCACUCCCCUCUAAAGGGAACAAAAGCCUCAGAGGAAGGAUGCCACGCCCUUCUCCAGCCUCCACAGGGCCACCCAAGCAACCAGUUUCAGAUUUAAACCUUCUGGAAAUCAACAGAGAAUAUGAAGAGUUAGAAGAAAGGGGCACUGGCAGCAUGGUACUGCUCAGUUCCAACAGAUUUUAACAAAAGGUGGGCAACUACAGAAAGAAGAAUCAGAACAGACUCUUCUCCCUCCCUUCCUCCUGCACAUAUUGUCAGAUGAUUAUACUUUAAAGAUUUCAACUGUCUAUCUAUUUUAUUGUACCUAUCAACCUCCUCUCACUUCCUUCCAAGUCCAUCCACUAAACUCUUCUAUUUGUGGUUUCAUUUUGCUCUCUCAGCUUUAGAGAUGUCAUUAAAAUGUGAUUUCCCUGCA